This 1848-nucleotide ribosomal RNA is filed under the name Schizochytrium sp. DT3. Its description in RNAcentral is "bacterial SSU rRNA". The stretch from base 1 to 955 matches the Rfam family "Eukaryotic small subunit ribosomal RNA". The record is from RNAcentral. Lineage: Eukaryota; Bigyra; Thraustochytrida; Thraustochytriidae.
GGGGAUUUUCUUAAGACUAAGCCAUGCAUGUGUAAGUAUAAGCGAAUUAUACUGUGAAACUGCGAACGGCUCAUUAUAUCAGUUAUAAUCCCUUCGGUAGUUCCUUUAUACGGAUACCUGCAGUAAUUCUGGAAUUAAUACGUGCUUUAGGGGCCCGACUUUCGGGGAGGGCCGCACUUAUUAGGAUUGAAGCCAAUAUAUUGGUGAGUCAUGAUAAUUGAGCAGAUCGCUUUUCGGAGCGAUGAAUCGUUUGAGUUUCUGCCCCAUCAGUUGUCGACGGUAGGGUAUUGGCCUACGGUGACUAUAACGGGUGACGGGGAGUUAGGGCUCGACUCCGGAGAGGGAGCCUGAGAGACGGCUACCACAUCCAAGGAAGGCAGCAGGCGCGUAAAUUACCCAAUGUGGACUCCACGAGGUAGUGACGAGAAAUAUCAAUGCGGGGCGCUUCGCGUCUUGCUAUUGGAAUGAGAGCAAUGUAAAACCCUCAUCGAGGAUCAACUGGAGGGCAAGUCUGGUGCCAGCAGCCGCGGUAAUUCCAGCUCCAGAAGCGUAUGCUAAAGUUGUUGCAGUUAAAAAGCUCGUAGUUGAAUUUCUGGCGUGGGAGCCCGGGUCUUGGUGCGAAUGCGCCUUGUUUACCUAGCGGCUCCUUUGCCAUCCUUGUGUGUUUUCAGGACUCGUUCCUUUCAGUGAAAUCAAAGCAAAGUGUUCAAGCCGGGCCGUAGGCCCGGUAUGUUUAUUAUGGUAUGAUCAGAUGGGACUGGGGUGCUAUUGUGUUGGUUGGCACAUCAGAGUAGUGUUUAAAGGAAACAGUGGGGGGGUAUCCUAUAUUUAGAGAGCUUAGAGUGUGAAUUUUCUUUGAUAUCUCCAAAAACACAAAUCUACAGGGAAAGGGCUUUUUCCCAAGCCAGUGUUUUCCUUUUAUUACAGAAACCAAAAAGCUCGGGGGAUAUCAAAAAUAAGAAUUAAUAUCCCUACUCGUAGCUCUGACACCCGUAAAGCAAAUCCUAGAUUUUCGCAUUUUGGGGGGUGGGGUUAAUUGUUAUUGGCCCCCUCCCGGCAGGCACCCCACUUGGGAAAAAUUUCAAAAUGCCUUUUUGGGUUUUCCCGGGGGGGGGAGAAUUAGGGGGUCCGCCAAGGGGGCUUUAAAACCCUUUAAAGGUGGAAACUUUUGACCGGGGAAAGGGGCCCCACCCCCCCCCGGGGGGAAUUUGGGGAACCCCCCGUUGGGGGGCCUUUUUAAUUUUUUGCAACCCUCCAACCCCCCAAGGGGGAAAAAAACCUUUUUCCCCCCCGGGGGUCCCCAAAAAGCUUUAAGGGGGGUGGGGGGAAUAUUAAGACCCAGAAGAAUUUGGGGGAAAAAAAGCCCCCCCUUUUUCAUCUUGGGGAAAAAUACUCCCAUUUUUUGUGGGGGGUGUGUGGUGUUGGAAAAAAUGCAACCAAGGGGGCCCCCCGGGGGUCUUUUCUGGUAAAAAAAGGGGGUGUUGUUUUGCGGGGGCAAAAAAGCGGGGGAAAAAAUUUUUUUUUUUUCCCCCCCCGGAGGGGGAGGGAGUGGAAAAUAAUUAUAUCCCCCCCGGUUUUUUUUUCCCCGAAAAAGAAACCCCAAAAGGAGAAAAAAAAACCCCCCUCUUUUUUCCCCCCCCCCCUCAAAACUCCUUAAAAAAAAAAACUUUUUUUUCUCUUCUUAAUAGGGGGGCGAACAGAAAGGGGGGCGGGCCCCAAAAACAUUUUUUAAAAGAGUGUUGUGGGGAAGAAAAUAUUUUUGUCCUGUUUACUAAAAAAAAACGAGGGGGGACAAAAAAAAAAAGAGGGGGCUCUUUCUCCGGGUUUUUUGUGUUCAAAAACAAGGGA